UCUAGGUCAAAGAUUCUGUUUGGCGGAUGGUUAGGUUUCGGUAGAGAUGAAGGACGUGGUAAGCUGCGAAAAGGUUGAGGUAGGCGCACGCAGCCUUUGAUCUCAACAUCUCUCAAUUGGAAAUCCUGCCUCUCGGGGCAUUCCGAAAGGAAGUCUGACGCGGGGAAUUGAAGCAUCUUAGUACCCGCAGGAAGAGAAAUCAAACGAGAUGCCGUUAGUAAAGGCGAUUAAAAGCGGCAUAGGGCAAACCGAACUUCUGAUGAAAGUCAGUAAGGAUGUGGAGUUAAAGGACUUGGGCCUUCCCUAACUUGUUAGCUUAAAGUUCUCUGGAAAGAGAUACCAAAGAGGGUGAUAGUCCCGUAGAGUAAAGCAAGAAGGGAAAUGCCAAGUAUCCUGAGUACCGGUCUUUAAAUAUAGAUCGAGAAUUUGGGUGGCAUUGACAUCCAACCCUAAAUAUAACCGAAGUCCGAUAGUGAAUUUAGUACCGCGAGGGAAAACUGAAAAGUAUCCUUAACGGGAGAUGAGAAGAGCCUAAAGCCAAACAGAUAUAGACAGUUGCGGCAUGAAAGUUAAUCAAUGUUGCAACAUCCGUUUUGAAAUUAGAGUAAGGUGAAAAACUUUAUACAAUAUUUUUUGUAUAAUAUUAAUGGUGACAAUGACAGAAAUUACGAAUGAGAUUGCAUAUUUAGUGGGUUUUAUACUAGGAGAUGGUGAUUUUUCUCUUAUAUCAAUCCAUGGAAAAAACCAAUGUAAAAUAUUUUCCGAAAAAGUGGGGUUUAAACACCCAUCUAAAAGUAUAAAGUUGAAAAACCUUCUCUAACAAAAGGAAUGGGUCAGGGAGUUUAUUCCAGUGGUGAGGUGAAAGCCUUAGCGAAAGCGAUAUGAGCGUAGCUUGCGUGGCUCAGGGUAUGAUAAGUGCCUAUAAAUCACUGGGAUAAGACCCGAAGUCUGUUGAUCUAACCCUUGGCAGGUUGAAGUCUGGCGAAAGUUGGAUGGAGGACCGUUACCGGUGAUGAGGACCAAUCUCUCGGGUGACCUGGGGUUAGGGGUGAAAAGCCAAUCGAAACAGACAAUAGCGGGUUCCUUCCGAAAUGCAUCUUAGUGCAGCCUGGCCUGAGGUAGAUAAGAGGGUAGAGCUACCAAUUGGAUUGUCAAGGGUCGAAAGGCUCAGCUUUCCUGUUAAACUCCGAAUCUCUUAUCGCCUUAGAAGGCCAAAAGUGAGGGUUCCCGGGUAAGCCGGGGUCCCGAGACGGAAAAAACCGCGACCAGGGUUAAGGUGUUUAAAUAUCAACUAAACGAUGAAAGAUAUCCAAAACCUCAGACAGUUGGGAGGUAGGCUCAGAAACAGCCAUCCUUUAAAGAGUACGUAACAGUUCACCAACCGAGGUUUUAGGUUCUGAAGAUGGAAGACACUAAGUUGAUUACCGAGACCUUGGACUCUGAAAAGAAUGUGGUAGGAAGGCGUCCUUAAUGGGUAGAAAUAGGGUUGUGAAAUCCUGUGGACCGUUGAGGAAUGAAAAUCCUGAUGCGAGUAGCAGCAUAAGUCGGGUUUGAACCCCGACCGUCUUAAGGGCAAGGGUUUGCCAGCAAUGUUGAUCAUCUGGCAGUAAGUCGAUCCUAACUCAAUUCCUAACCGUUUUUGGGGAAAGGGAAAUCGGUUAAUAUUCCGAUACCAUGAAAAUACGCGUGGCAACACAAGUAAAAAUCAGACACUUUGGGAUAGGCGAACGCGAGUCAGCUGUCGAAAUUUGGGGAGAUUCAUCAAGAAGAGAACCAAAAGCAGACAGAAGAGCUUCUCUUAUGGGAAGUUUUGCUGAUUCCUAGAGUCAAUGAAAAUGGUUUUUAAAGGAUUUUUCGUGAUCGUACUCAGAAUCGACACAGAUGCCCUUCUCUGAGAAGGAGAAGACGUCUAGGUUAACUCGGUUCAAGGAAUUAGGCAACAAUAGCCCUGUAUCUUUGGUAUAAGGGGUGCCUGAGGUCCUUCACGGGAUCCCAGGUCGCAGUAACAAGGAGGAGGCGACUGUUUAACAAAUGGAAAAAAUUGUUUUUUUAUCCAGUUAACAAACAUAGGGGACUGCCAGGGAGAAAUCCUUAGUAUAGUCCCUGAGGCCUGCCCAGUGCCGGUGUGUCAAAGUUGGUUUCAACCAACCUAAGCCCCGGUAAACGGCGGCGGUAACUCUGACCGUCGUAAAGUAGCGUAAUCCCUUGUCGAUUAAAUGUCGACCCGCUUGAAUGGCUUAACGAUCUCCUCGCUGUCUCGAACUGAGGCCUAGUGAGACUGUCUUGUGGUGAAUAUACCACAGACCUUCAAUGGGAAACGAAGACCCCGUAGAGCUUUGCUGUAGUCUGGUGCUGUAUUAUGGUUUUGCAUGCAGAGUGUAGGUAGUAGUUGCUAAUGCUUGUCUCUCGGGGCAAGUGGAGACGACAAUGGAACACUACCCUUGUGAAAGCAUAAUGCUCACCGCGACAGUGGGACAAUGCUAGAUGGACAGCUCGGCUGGGGCGGUACUCCGUUGACAAAUGAUCAACGGAGCCCAAAGGUCAGCUCAUCCCGGACAGAAAUUGAGAUAACUUUAUUACACUCUACUCACUAUAUAUGUAUAUGAAGAAAAUAAUUCAACUAGAAGAAUUUCCAGAUACAAUAUAUUUGAGUUUAAGUGACUCUGACCACAAAAAACUUUGGAAAAAUUUGUUAAAAAAUAUAUCGAUAAAACAAGUGGCGGAAGAAUUUAAAAUUCCAGUGAGAAAUUUGUACAAAUACAAAGAAGGCGAUUCUGGUUAUCCUUUAGCAAUACUAAAGAAACUACUCAAAAAAACAAAAAUAAAAAUAAAUCAAGCUAAUAUUAAAACUCAAAGAAACAGUAAUUCGAUGAAAAUAAAAAUUCCAAUUAGAAUCACAGAAAAAUUUACAGAAUUUUUAGGAUAUUUAUUUGGAGAUGGCGGGAUAGACCAUCAAUUUGGAGUUCACUUUACAACAAAUGAUAAAAAGAGUUUAAAUCAGUUUGACAAUUUAGUAAAAGAAGUCUUUGGUGAUAUAGAAAAACAAGAAUAUGAUUAUGGAACAAGAAUAACAUAUUAUUACCCAAAAAUACUAGGAGUUUUAUUGAGUGAAAUUUUCAAAAUUCCUAAAGGUAACAAA
RNAcentral lists this ribosomal RNA (3139 nucleotides) under Candidatus Aenigmarchaeota archaeon CG15_BIG_FIL_POST_REV_8_21_14_020_37_27. RNAcentral's name for it is "bacterial LSU rRNA". The stretch from base 1 to 2790 matches the Rfam family "Archaeal large subunit ribosomal RNA". Lineage: Archaea; Nanobdellati; Candidatus Aenigmatarchaeota. The record is from RNAcentral.